GCCGGGUGUGGUGGUGCACACCUGUAAUUCCAGCGGCUCAGGAGGUUGUAGCAAAAGGAUCACCAGUUCAAGGCCAGCCUUAGCAACUU
This 89-nucleotide small RNA is filed under the name Marmota monax (woodchuck). Lineage: Eukaryota; Metazoa; Chordata; Mammalia; Rodentia; Sciuridae. The record is from RNAcentral.